UUGCUGUAUGAGAAAAAGGAACCACAGUAACCUUCUAAUACAGCACUUAGAUUAAGGGCAGAUUUGUACCAGCAAUAAGCAAUGUGGACACACAUCUGGCAACACCAGCAGGACUUGAUCCCUGACGGAGUGUGGUGGUUUUACCGUGCUAGGCAGCUGAACACCACAACCGCUCACUCACUCCCCCUCCUUAGAUGAGGAGGGGAAGAUGUAAAGGAAAGAACAACUCACAGGUUGAGAUAAGGAUGAUUUAAUUAAAGGGAAGAAAAAAUAAUUAUUAAGGAAAGAUUAUUAUUAAUUAAACAAUUUAACUAAAGGGGAAAAAAAGGAAAGGGGAAAAGGGAGGGGGAAAAGGAAAACUAAACAAAACAAGUAAAGGCUAUGUGGAAGUGCAGAGGAAAGAAAUUACUCUCUACUUCCCACAAAUGAGCGAUGCUUGACCACGUCCUUGAAGGAGGGCCUCAACGCACGUAGCCGGUGUUCGGGAGGAGGACAGACGUUUUCACAACGAGAGCCCACCCCUCCCCUCUUCCUCCUUUUUCCACCUUUUAUUGCUGAGUGUGACAUCAUCUGGUAUGGAAUAUCCCUUUGGUUGGUUUAGGUCAGCUGCCCUGGUGAUGUUUCUUUUCUCACAUCUUUGCCCACCCCUAGGGGGGUUAGAGAGAGUCCUGAUGCUGUGCCAGCACUGCUCAGCAGCAGACACAACACUGGUGUGAUACCACUGCUGCUUUAGCUACGAGUGCAGAGCACAGCACUGUAUGGGCUGCUGCUGGGAAAGAUAACAUCCCAGCCCGACCCAGUACAUGGAGAUCCCACAAAACAGAUACAGAUACAGAUGUAUGCUUGAGAGGACUUUGGAGGGAACAAUUUUAUUAUUUGUUGCUUUUUUGUUGUUGUGUUGUUGUUGUUGUUGAUUUGUUUGUUUCCUGUGGAGUAAGGGAGUGAGGUGAUUAACCAGGACGUGUGCAGUGUGGAUAAAGAGAAGACAGCAUCCCUGUGGGACGGGGAGGGGCCCAUCCAGAGCAUGCAGGCACUGUCCUGUGCCGCCCGGACUGGCACAGGCAAACCUAGAGGUGCCUUCCCAAACGCUUCCCUCGUGUACCAGGAGACGUGCUGGUGGCAGGAGGAGGCAGUUGGCUCUUUUGGGUUUCUCCCCUGGGCUCCAGAGGUGCCAUAGCACAGAGUCAGUCCUCCCGGCAUUGUGCGGGUCAGGGUACUCUGGGUCUCAGGCUGAGCUCUGCAACUUACAGACAUUAACUCUUAAGAGCCCCAGGAGCCAAAACGGAGAGGAAAUGACUCCUUUUAGCAGAGGACGGU
Molecule: long non-coding RNA, 1317 nt
Filed under: Anser brachyrhynchus (Pink-footed goose)
Lineage: Eukaryota; Metazoa; Chordata; Aves; Anseriformes; Anatidae
Description: lncRNA (ENSABRG00000005272.1)
Source: RNAcentral